GUGCUGUGAUGUUUUUGUCAACCCUUCAUUCUGAAGAAAAAAAAGUAUGUGGUAACUUUUAAAACUGAGCACA
RNAcentral lists this small nucleolar RNA (73 nucleotides) under Vombatus ursinus (common wombat). RNAcentral describes it as "Small nucleolar RNA SNORD63 (ENSVURG00010009347.1)". It matches the Rfam family "Small nucleolar RNA SNORD63". From Rfam's summary of the family: snoRNA U63 is found in both humans and mice. Lineage: Eukaryota; Metazoa; Chordata; Mammalia; Diprotodontia; Vombatidae. The record is from Rfam by way of RNAcentral.